RNAcentral lists this ribosomal RNA (440 nucleotides) under uncultured bacterium. RNAcentral's name for it is "partial 16S ribosomal RNA". It matches the Rfam family "Bacterial small subunit ribosomal RNA", at positions 338 to 795 of the family's 1533-position model. The record is from RNAcentral.
CCUACGGGGGGCUGCAGUGGGGGAUAUUGCACAAUGGGGGAAACCCUGAUGCAGCGACGCCGCGUGUGGGAAGACGGUCCUCUGGAUUGUAAACCACUGUCCCCAGGGACGAAGAUGACGGUACCUGGGGAGGAAGCUCCGGCUAACAACGUGCCAGCAGCACCGGUAAUACGUAGGGAGCGAGCGUUGUUCGGAAUUACUGGGUGAAAAGGGAGCGUAGGCGGGACUGCAAGUUGGGGGUAAAAUCUACCGGCUCAACCGGUAGCCGCACUCAAAACUGCAGUUCUUGAGUGAAGUAGAGGCAGGCGGAAUUCCUAGUGUAGCGGUGAAAUGCGUAGAUAUUAGGAGGAACACCAGUGGCGAAGGCGGCCUGCUGGGCUUUUACUGACGCUGAGGCUCGAAAGUGUGGGGAGCAAACAGGAUUAGAUACCCUGGUAGUC